This 397-nucleotide ribosomal RNA is filed under the name uncultured bacterium. Its description in RNAcentral is "partial 16S ribosomal RNA". It matches the Rfam family "Bacterial small subunit ribosomal RNA", at positions 338 to 732 of the family's 1533-position model. The record is from RNAcentral.
CCUACGGGUGGCAGCAGUGAGGAAUAUUGGUCAAUGGACGAGAGUCUGAACCAGCCAAGUAGCGUGAAGGAUGACUGCCCUAUGGGUUGUAAACUUCUUUUAUAAAGGAAUAAAAUGAGGCACGUGUGCCUUUUUGUAUGUACUUUAUGAAUAAGGAUCGGCUAACUCCGUGCCAGCAGCCGCGGUAAUACGGAGGAUCCGAGCGUUAUCCGGAUUUAUUGGGUUUAAAGGGAGCGUAGAUGGGUUGAUAAGUCAGUUGUGAAAGUUUGCGGCUCAACCGUGCAAUUGCAAUUGAUACUGGCAGUCUUGAGUGCAGGUGAGGUAGGCGGAAUUCGUGGUGUAGCGGUGAAAUGCUUAGAUAUCACGAAGAACUCCGAUUGCGAAGGCAGCUAACUAA